This 524-nucleotide ribosomal RNA is filed under the name uncultured bacterium. Its description in RNAcentral is "partial 16S ribosomal RNA". It matches the Rfam family "Bacterial small subunit ribosomal RNA", at positions 28 to 523 of the family's 1533-position model. The record is from RNAcentral.
GGCGAACGCUGGCGGCGUGCCUAAUACAUGCAAGUCGAGCGCAGGAAACUGACGGAACUCUUCGGAGGGAAGGCAGUGGAAUGAGCGGCGGACGGGUGAGUAACACGUAAGGAACCUGCCUCAAGGAUUGGGAUAACUCCGAGAAAUCGGAGCCAAUACCGGAUAGUUCAUCGGACCGCAUGGUCCGCUGAUGAAAGGCGCUUCGGCGUCACCUUGAGAGGGCCUUGCGGUGCAUUCGCUAGUUGGUGGGGUAACGGCCCACCAAGGCGACGAUGCAUAGCCGACCUGAGAGGGUGAUCGGCCACACUGGGACUGAGACACGGCCCAGACUCCUACGGGAGGCAGCAGUAGGGAAUCUUCCACAAUGGACGAAAGUCUGAUGGAGCAACGCCGCGUGAGUGAUGAAGGUUUUCGGAUCGUAAAACUCUGUUGUAAGGGAAGAACACGUACGAGAGGGAAUGCUCGUACCUUGACGGUACCUUACGAGAAAGCCACGGCUAACUACGUGCCAGCAGCCGCAGUAA